GCUGGGGUGGCAGAGUGGACAAUUGCACCUGCCUGUAGAGCAGGCGCCUUUAGGGCUUCGGGGGUUCGAAUCCCUCCCCCAGCACCA
This 87-nucleotide transfer RNA is filed under the name candidate division WWE3 bacterium CG_4_9_14_0_2_um_filter_48_10. RNAcentral's name for it is "tRNA-Tyr". It matches the Rfam family "tRNA". From Rfam's summary of the family: Transfer RNA (tRNA) molecules are approximately 80 nucleotides in length. Their secondary structure includes four short double-helical elements and three loops (D, anti-codon, and T loops). The record is from RNAcentral. RNAcentral also lists the same sequence under 2 other names. Lineage: Bacteria; candidate division WWE3.